AGUAGGGAAUCUUCCACAAUGGACGAAAGUCUGAUGGAGCAACGCCGCGUGAGNGAAGAAGGUUUUCGGAUCGUAAAGCUCUGUUGUUGGUGAAGAAGGAUAGAGGUAGUAACUGGCCUUUAUUUGACGGUAAUCAACCAGAAAGUCACGGCUAACUACGUGCC
This 164-nucleotide ribosomal RNA is filed under the name uncultured bacterium. RNAcentral's name for it is "partial 16S ribosomal RNA". It matches the Rfam family "Bacterial small subunit ribosomal RNA", at positions 353 to 509 of the family's 1533-position model. The record is from RNAcentral.